Molecule: ribosomal RNA, 502 nt
Filed under: uncultured Bacteroidota bacterium
Lineage: Bacteria; Pseudomonadati; Bacteroidota
Description: bacterial SSU rRNA
Rfam family: Bacterial small subunit ribosomal RNA
Source: RNAcentral
GCCUUGCCACGCCCGCUCAGAAACUUAAAGGAAUUGACGGGGGCCCGCACAAGCGGAGGAGCAUGUGGUUUAAUUCGAUGAUACGCGAGGAACCUUACCUGGGCUUAAAUGCUUAAUGACGUACUGGGAAACUGGUAUUUCUUCGGACAUUUUGCAAGGUGCUGCAUGGUUGUCGUCAGCUCGUGCCGUGAGGUGUCGGGUUAAGUCCCAUAACGAGCGCAACCCCUAUUGUAGUUGCCAUCAGGUCAUGCUGGGGACUCUAACAAAACUGCCCGCGUAAGCGUGGAGGAAGGUGGGGAUGACGUCAAAUCAGCACGGCCCUUACGUCCAGGGCUACACACGUGCUACAAUGGCCGGUACAGAGGGCAGCCACUUGGUGACAAGGAGCAAAUCUCAAAAGCCGGUCUCAGUUCGGAUCGGAGUCUGCAACUCGACUCCGUGAAGUUGGAUUCGCUAGUAAUCGUAGAUCAGCAAUGCUACGGUGAAUACGUUCCCGGGCCUU